GGCAAGAUGGCGCUCGGCUUGAGCCUAGCCAAAGUGAUUACCCUCAUUCCCGAACCGUGUCUGAGAGUCUCCUGGGGGUCCUGGCUUACUAUCGCACCGUGGCUCUUACAUGAAGUCAGUACAGCGUGUUUAAGCUGAUCUCACACGUGUGGCACACACUACCCAGUCCCAGGGAUCGAGUAAACUAAGACUCGGCCUUACACCCUGCCCCGGCCAGGGAGACAGUCCCACAAGCUCUAGCGGAGGAAAGAAAGUUCGCGCGAAAAGCAGACUCAAACCGCUGAACCUUCUGGGAAAUGUAGUCUACCCUCAAAAGAGUGGCACGGAGGACGGGCCAAGAUCUGUAGAUUCCGUCCGGUUCUGAGCCUGGGCCUGGCCCAGCCCAGGAGACCUCUGGGAGCGCUGCCCGCCGAAGGAGUGCGCAGGCGCGGACUCUCCGACUCGCCAUGGUGGUCUUUGUCUGCCGGCUUGCUUCCUUGUACAUCCUCAGGAGCUGCAAAACCUCUUAGAGUUCUAAGGGCUCUGCCUGAAUUUUGGGAUGCUGCUUUGUUCCCCAACCAUAACAUCCAAGUCCAGUGUGAUUUUUCUUCUCACAAGUUUAAAGUCAACACUUAAAAGAAGAACAGCAACAGAUGAUUGAGAAAGAAAUGUGAAGAAGGUUCUCUGUGAGUAAGCAAGAAGCUGGUAGGUGUGAAUGGGAUAAAGACUUACUGCAGUUAUUCAGUGAGAGUUUGCAGCCUCAGCCUCUGAGUUGUUGUGGGUUUUUGUUGUUGUUGUUUUGAGAUUUUUGUACUAGCCUUUGUCUUUUAGAGUGACUGUUGCUGGGAGUUCUUUAGAUACCUAAAUGACAUUUCCAGACCGUCUUCCUGAAUCUAUGCAUCCCUUUUAUCAGAUUCUAGAGGACUGAUUGCUCUUCUAAACUCUGUUCUGGAUGCCAGUCACUCUACAUCAUUCACAGUCUCACGUUUAUGAUUUUUUACAGCCUCAAUUUCACUUUUCUUCCUUUCACUAACAUUCUCCAUUUUUCACUUUUCCCGUAUGCCUAGAUGCAUUUCCUUAAGCAUUCAGUCCUUCAUAGAUCUGUUAGCUUUCAAAAACUAGCAUGUAAGCUCUUUUCUUUAAAAUGUAAUCUUUCUAUGUACAACUAUUAUGUAUCAAUAAAAAAAAUUUCGAAAACUAGCAAGUAGAUUCUUUACAUUUUAACUUUCUGUCAUUCUUUCUCCUUCCAUUGUUAUAUUCCUCAGAAUUGAAUUUUACUUCCUUACUCUUGUUUUCCAUUGUCUUCCUACCUCCAGCCAUCAUAGUCCAAUGCUGUGUCACCUCCUGCUUUUUAACAAUAUUGCAGG
This 1346-nucleotide long non-coding RNA is filed under the name Macaca mulatta (Rhesus monkey). RNAcentral describes it as "lncRNA (ENSMMUG00000055807.1)". Lineage: Eukaryota; Metazoa; Chordata; Mammalia; Primates; Cercopithecidae. The record is from RNAcentral.